RNAcentral lists this unclassified non-coding RNA (337 nucleotides) under soil metagenome. RNAcentral's name for it is "partial contains 5.8S ribosomal RNA, internal transcribed spacer 2, and large subunit ribosomal RNA". The stretch from base 1 to 120 matches the Rfam family "5.8S ribosomal RNA", at positions 35 to 154 of the family's 154-position model. The record is from RNAcentral.
GAUGAAGAACGUAGUGAAAUGCGAUAAGUAAUGUGAAUUGCAGAAUUCAGUGAAUCAUCGAAUCUUUGAACGCACAUUGCGCCCGCCAGUAUUCUGGCGGGCAUGCCUGUUCGAGCGUCAUUUCAACCAUCAAGCCCCCGGGCUUGUGUUGGGGUCCUGCGGCUGCCGCAGGCCCUGAAAAGCAGUGGCGGGCUCGCUGUCACACCGAGCGUAGUAGAUUUUAUCUCGCUCAGGGCGUGCUGCGGGUUCCGGCCGUUAAACCACCUUCAUAACCCAAGGUUGACCUCGGAUCAGGUAGGAAGACCCGCUGAACUUAAGCAUAUCAAUAAGCGGAGGA